UCUAAAUCCCUUCCCACUCGAUUCUCUUUUGCAGCCUCAUAUGAUCCCUAGCCUCCGCCAUCUAAUUCCACCCUAGUCCACCUCAAUCCAUGCCUAAUCCAUGGCCUAUCAUGGAUAUUUGAGGUAUGUAUCAACCUCCUAUAGCUCCUGGGUGUUUGUUUCCGUAAUUUCGUGGAAAAACUCAAAGAGGUCUGGUCCAGUCCUUGCUUGACUUCAAUCUCUGGUCCUUUUACGGUCAUCCAUGGAUG
This 248-nucleotide long non-coding RNA is filed under the name Nicotiana benthamiana. Its description in RNAcentral is "long non-coding RNA (NBEN_LNC042369)". The record is from RNAcentral. Lineage: Eukaryota; Viridiplantae; Streptophyta; Magnoliopsida; Solanales; Solanaceae.